AGGGGAGUAGCUCAGCUGGCUAGAGCAUCGGUCUCCAAAACCGAGGGUCGCAGGUUCAAGUCCUGUCUCCCCUGCCA
This 77-nucleotide transfer RNA is filed under the name bacterium. RNAcentral's name for it is "tRNA-Trp". It matches the Rfam family "tRNA". Rfam says of the family: Transfer RNA (tRNA) molecules are approximately 80 nucleotides in length. Their secondary structure includes four short double-helical elements and three loops (D, anti-codon, and T loops). Further hydrogen bonds mediate the characteristic L-shaped molecular structure. tRNAs have two regions of fundamental functional importance: the anti-codon, which is responsible for specific mRNA codon recognition, and the 3' end, to which the tRNAs corresponding amino acid is attached (by aminoacyl-tRNA synthetases). tRNAs cope with the degeneracy of the genetic code in two manners: having more than one tRNA (with a specific anti-codon) for a particular amino acid; and 'wobble' base-pairing, i.e. permitting non-standard base-pairing at the 3rd anti-codon position. The record is from RNAcentral.